GUCUACGGCUAUACCAUCCUGAAGGUUCCCAAUCUCAUCUGAUCUUGGAAGCUAGGCAGUGUCAAGUAUGAUUAGUACCUGGUUUAUUUUUAAAACAGGGUCUCACUAUGGUGUUCAGGCU
This 121-nucleotide ribosomal RNA is filed under the name Cavia porcellus (domestic guinea pig). Lineage: Eukaryota; Metazoa; Chordata; Mammalia; Rodentia; Caviidae. The record is from RNAcentral.